AGAGUUUGAUCCUGGCUCAGAUUGAACGCUGGCGGCAGGCCUAACACAUGCAAGUCGAGCGGUAGAGAGAAGCUUGCUUCUCUUGAGAGCGGCGGACGGGUGAGUAAUGCCUAGGAAUCUGCCUGGUAGUGGGGGAUAACGUUCGGAAACGGACGCUAAUACCGCAUACGUCCUACGGGAGAAAGCAGGGGACCUUCGGGCCUUGCGCUAUCAGAUGAGCCUAGGUCGGAUUAGCUAGUUGGUGAGGUAAUGGCUCACCAAGGCGACGAUCCGUAACUGGUCUGAGAGGAUGAUCAGUCACACUGGAACUGAGACACGGUCCAGACUCCUACGGGAGGCAGCAGUGGGGAAUAUUGGACAAUGGGCGAAAGCCUGAUCCAGCCAUGCCGCGUGUGUGAAGAAGGUCUUCGGAUUGUAAAGCACUUUAAGUUGGGAGGAAGGGCAGUAAAUUAAUACUUUGCUGUUUUGACGUUACCGACAGAAUAAGCACCGGCUAACUCUGUGCCAGCAGCCGCGGUAAUACAGAGGGUGCAAGCGUUAAUCGGAAUUACUGGGCGUAAAGCGCGCGUAGGUGGUUUGUUAAGUUGGAUGUGAAAUCCCCGGGCUCAACCUGGGAACUGCAUUCAAAACUGACUGACUAGAGUAUGGUAGAGGGUGGUGGAAUUUCCUGUGUAGCGGUGAAAUGCGUAGAUAUAGGAAGGAACACCAGUGGCGAAGGCGACCACCUGGACUAAUACUGACACUGAGGUGCGAAAGCGUGGGGUGCAAACAGGAUUAGAUACCCUGGUAGUCCACGCCGUAAACGAUGUCAACUAGCCGUUGGAAGCCUUGAGCUUUUAGUGGCGCAGCUAACGCAUUAAGUUGACCGCCUGGGGAGUACGGCCGCAAGGUUAAAACUCAAAUGAAUUGACGGGGGCCCGCACAAGCGGUGGAGCAUGUGGUUUAAUUCGAAGCAACGCGAAGAACCUUACCAGGCCUUGACAUCCAAUGAACUUUCUAGAGAUAGAUUGGUGCCUUCGGGAACAUUGAGACAGGUGCUGCAUGGCUGUCGUCAGCUCGUGUCGUGAGAUGUUGGGUUAAGUCCCGUAACGAGCGCAACCCUUGUCCUUAGUUACCAGCACGUAAUGGUGGGCACUCUAAGGAGACUGCCGGUGACAAACCGGAGGAAGGUGGGGAUGACGUCAAGUCAUCAUGGCCCUUACGGCCUGGGCUACACACGUGCUACAAUGGUCGGUACAGAGGGUUGCCAAGCCGCGAGGUGGAGCUAAUCCCAUAAAACCGAUCGUAGUCCGGAUCGCAGUCUGCAACUCGACUGCGUGAAGUCGGAAUCGCUAGUAAUCGCGAAUCAGAAUGUCGCGGUGAAUACGUUCCCGGGCCUUGCAAUGACCGCCCGUC
RNAcentral lists this ribosomal RNA (1395 nucleotides) under uncultured bacterium. RNAcentral describes it as "bacterial SSU rRNA". It matches the Rfam family "Bacterial small subunit ribosomal RNA". The record is from RNAcentral.